RNAcentral lists this transfer RNA (84 nucleotides) under Prevotellaceae bacterium. RNAcentral describes it as "tRNA-Leu". It matches the Rfam family "tRNA". Rfam says of the family: Transfer RNA (tRNA) molecules are approximately 80 nucleotides in length. Their secondary structure includes four short double-helical elements and three loops (D, anti-codon, and T loops). The record is from RNAcentral. Lineage: Bacteria; Pseudomonadati; Bacteroidota; Bacteroidia; Bacteroidales; Prevotellaceae.
GCCCAGGUGGUGAAAUUGGUAGACACACUACUUUGAGGGGGUAGCGCCGGUUACGGUGUGCAAGUUCAAAUCUUGUCCUGGGCA